UGCCAGCCGCCGCGGUAAUACGGAGGGUGCAAGCGUUAAUCGGAAUUACUGGGCGUAAAGCGCAUGCAGGUGGAUGAUUAAGUCAGAUGUGAAAGCCCGGGGCUCAACCUCGGAAUAGCAUUUGAAACUAUUGAACUUGAGGUAUAAAGGGGCAGAUGGAAUUCCAGAAGUAGGGGUAAAAUCCGUAGAUCUCUGGAGGAACACCAAACGCGAAGGCAUUCUGCUGGUCAUUACCUGACGCUGAGGGACGAAAGCGUGGGGAGCGAACGGGAUUAGAUA
RNAcentral lists this ribosomal RNA (279 nucleotides) under uncultured bacterium. RNAcentral's name for it is "partial 16S ribosomal RNA". It matches the Rfam family "Bacterial small subunit ribosomal RNA", at positions 506 to 784 of the family's 1533-position model. The record is from RNAcentral.